GAGCCCCAGCGACCUUCAGGGACUCCAGAAUAACCUCCUGGGGACGCGCGUCUGAGCAGGAAACAGCAGGAAGGGGUCCGAGCGGAUGAACUCCUGGGUUCUGUCCCCAGCUCUGGGAGGAGGUGGGGUCCAGUGAUCAGACCAAGGCGGACUGGGAGCCAGGACUCCUGGGUUCUCUCCCCAGCUCUGGGAAGAGGUGAGGUCCAGUGAUCAGACCAAGGCAGACUGGGAGCCAGGACUCCUGGGUUCUCUCCCCAGCUCUGGGAAGAGGUGGGGUCCAGUGGUCAGACCAAGGCGGACUGGGAGCCAGGACUCCUGAGUUCUCUCCCCAGCUCUGGGAAGAGGUGGGGUCCAGUGGUCAGACCAAGGCGGACUGGGAGCCAGGACUCCUGGGUUCUCUCCCCAUCUCUAGGAGGAGGCAGGGUCCAGUGAUCAGAGCUGAGCUCUGGACUCAGGACUCCUGGGUUCUAUUCCUGCCUUAGCCGCGAUUGGCUUUUGCACUGAAGGUCAGCGGUUCCCCUAGCAGCAUGCGGAAUGGGUGUGGUGGGCAGACGGGCUCCCAGUGUAAAUAGACGGGGGUGGGAUGCUGGGCACAUGAGUUAGGGGAGUGUCUGCCUCGCUCCAGCCCAGCACUGGCCUGCUGCCUCUCCCCGGGUCAGGUGAGAAGCCAGGACUGGACAGGUCACUCUCCACCACAAGGGUGGGGCCCUGCCCUGGGGAGGCUGGGGGGAGGGGAGAAGCUGCUCCGACCCCUGCCUGGUCCUGGAGCUAAUGGAGGAGCCU
This is a long non-coding RNA of Gopherus flavomarginatus (Mexican gopher tortoise), 783 nucleotides long. RefSeq lists it as uncharacterized. The transcript has 3 exons. Lineage: Eukaryota; Metazoa; Chordata; Testudines; Testudinidae. The record is from RefSeq and is a predicted model, not a curated record.